RNAcentral lists this transfer RNA (75 nucleotides) under Alkalicella caledoniensis. RNAcentral describes it as "Clostridiales bacterium LB2 tRNA-Asn". It matches the Rfam family "tRNA". Rfam says of the family: Transfer RNA (tRNA) molecules are approximately 80 nucleotides in length. Their secondary structure includes four short double-helical elements and three loops (D, anti-codon, and T loops). Lineage: Bacteria; Bacillati; Bacillota; Clostridia; Eubacteriales; Proteinivoracaceae. The record is from RNAcentral.
UCCUCAGUAGCUCAGUGGUGGAGCAACCGGCUGUUAACCGGUAGGUCGUAGGUUCAAAUCCUACCUGAGGAGCCA